CCAAGGUCAUGGAGCUCCACAGGGCGCCGCCCUGGAAGAGGACGCCCGUACGCCGCAGGAUGCGGCGGCGCUCUUUUUCGGUACAGGCCCAGAUGUCCGUAUCACCGUAGAGCACCUGGCCGCUCUGGGGCUGCUUGAGGCCCAUGAGCGUGCGCAGGAGCGAGCUCUUGCCGCAGCCGGAACCGCCCAUGAUGAGGAAGAUGUCAUCGGCGGCCACAUCGAAAUUGACGUCACGCAUGAGCACGAAGGAGCCGUAGCCCAGGGUCAGGUCGCGGACGCGCAGGCGGGGAGUGCUCAUGUCAGAUGCCCAGUACGUUGCAGAUGAUGGUGAUGACGGCCGUGGCGAUGAUGAUGCCCACGAUGGACUGGACCACGGCCGUGGUGGUGGCCAGGCCCACGGCCUGGGCGCUGCGGCCGCAGCGGAUGCCCUGAUAGCAGCCCGCCAGGGCGAUGAUGAUGCCGAACACUGUACCGUAGGCGAUGCCGAUGAGCCCGUGGACGAAGGAGACCAUCUGCAUGGUGGCGUUGAGGUAUUCGGCGGAACUCAGCCCCAGCAUGGAGACGCCCACCACAUAGCCGCCCAGGAUGCCCAUGAGGUCGGCAUAGACCGUGAGCAGGGGGACCAUGAGCAUCAGGGCCAGCAUGCGCGGCAGCACCAGAAAAUCUAUGGGCGAGAUGCCCAGGGUGGUCAGGGCGUCCACUUCCUCGUUGACCUGCAUGGUACCGAUCAUGGCCGCAUAGGCGGCCCCCACGCGGCCGGACAUGACCACGCCCACCAUGACCGCGCCCAUGACGCGCAGCAUGCCGAUGCCCACCAGCCCGGCCACAUAGAUCUGGGCGCCGAACUGCGUCAGCUGCACCGCGCCCACAAAGGCCAGGAUCAGACCGAACAGCAGGCUGGUGAUGGAGAUGAUGGGCAGGGCGCGCACACCGCAUUCGUACAUGGCUUCUAUAAAGUCCUGCAUGCGCAUGCCGGCGCGUCCCAGGAUGAGACGCCAGAUGGAAAGGGUCACAUCGCCGAGGAAUUCCAGAAAAUCCGCACAGCGGGGCGGCAGGCCCAUGACCGCCUCGCCCACCCGGGCAAAAAGCCCUUGCCGGUGGUCGCUGCGGGCGGCCCCUGCCUGGGCCGGGAUGGCGAAGGCCAGGUGCAGCAGUCGUGCCAGUCCUGUGGGCAUAACGGGGCUAAAAUUCAUACCGAAGCUUAGGAAUGAUAGUAAUAUUGUUGGUAGAUGAGCGUUGUGUAAGUCUGCGAAGCUACACCGAAAGGAGUAGUGGAGAUAUCACAAGUGAGAAUGCCGGAAUGAGUAGCGAGAAUUAUGUGAGAAUCAUAAUGGUCGAAAAUCUAAGGUUUCUUGAGGAAGGUUCGUCCGCUCAAGGUAAGCCGGGAGCUAAGGCGAGGCCGAGAGGCGUAGUCGAUGCACAUACGGUAAAGAUUCCGUAGCCACCGAAGUCGUUAAAUACAGGGACACAGGAACAUAGCCUAACCCCACCGUUGGUUGAGUGGGGCGUAAGGGAGCGAAAAAUAGUAGCGAAGUAGGUGAUUGUACACUGGCGAGAAAAGCUGUAUGAAUUGACAAGGUGCCCGUACCGCAAACCGACACAGGUAGAUGAGGAGAGAAUCCUAAGACCAGCGGGAGAAGUGUUGUUAAGGAACUCGGCAAAAUGACCCCGUAACUUCGGGAUAAGGGGAGCCUACGAGAGUAGGCCGCAGAGAAUAGUCUCAAGCGACUGUUUAGCAAAAACACAGGUCUAUGCUAAAUCGAAAGAUGAUGUAUAUGGGCUGACGCCUGCCCGGUGCUGGAAGGUUAAGGGGAAGUGUUAGAGCAAUCGAAGCACUGAACUUAAGCCCCAGUAAACGGCGGCCGUAACUAUAACGGUCCUAAGGUAGCGAAAUUCCUUGUCAGGUAAGUUCUGACCCGCACGAAUGGCGUAAUGAUUUGGGCACUGUCUCAACAGCCCGCCCGGCGAAAUUGUAGUACUGGUGAAGAUGCCAGUUACCCGCAACUAGACGGAAAGACCCCAUGGAGCUUUACUGUAGCCUAAUACUGAAGAUCGGUAAUGCAUGUACAGGAUAGGUGGGAGCCAGCGAAACCCGGGCGUCAGCUCGGAUGGAGGCAACCUUGGAAUACCACCCUUGUAUUGCUGGUUUUCUAACCUGCGGCCAUGAAUCUGGUCGGGGGACACUGUUAGGUGGGCAGUUUGACUGGGGCGGUCGCCUCCAAAAGCGUAACGGAGGCGCUCAAAGGUUGGCUCAGCACGGACGGAAAUCGUGCAUAGAGUGCAAACGCAUAAGCCAACUUGACUGCGAGACCGACGGGUCGAGCAGGUACGAAAGUAGGAGUUAGUGAUCCGGUGGUAUGUGAGUGGAAAUGCCAUCGCUCAACGGAUAAAA
This 2392-nucleotide ribosomal RNA is filed under the name human gut metagenome. RNAcentral's name for it is "bacterial LSU rRNA". The stretch from base 1050 to 2392 matches the Rfam family "Bacterial large subunit ribosomal RNA", at positions 1 to 2461 of the family's 2925-position model. The record is from RNAcentral.